UGGGGAAUUUUGGACAAUGGGCGAAAGCCUGAUCCAGCAAUGCCGCGUGUGUGAAGAAGGCCUUCGGGUUGUAAAGCACUUUUGUCCGGAAAGAAAUCCUUGGCUCUAAUACAGUCGGGGGAUGACGGUACCGGAAGAAUAAGCACCGGCUAACUACGUGCCAGCAGCCGCGGUAAUACGUAGGGUGCAAGCGUUAAUCGGAAUUACUGGGCGUAAAGCGUGCGCAGGCGGUUUGCUAAGACCGAUGUGAAAUCCCCGGGCUCAACCUGGGAACUGCAUUGGUGACUGGCAGGCUAGAGUAUGGCAGAGGGGGGUUAGAAUUCCACGUGUAGCAGUGAAAUGCGUAGAGAUGUGGAGGAAUACCGAUGGCGAAGGCAGCCCCCUGGGCCAAUACUGACGCUCAUGCACGAAAGCGUGGGGAGCAAACAGGAUUAGAUACCCUGGUAGUCCACGCCCUAAACGAUGUCAACUAGUUGUUGGGGAUUCAUUUCCUUAGUAACGUAGCUAACGCGUGAAGUUGACCGCCUGGGGAGUACGGUCGCAAGAUUAAAACUUAAAUGAAUUGACGGGGUCAUAGCUGUUU
Molecule: ribosomal RNA, 583 nt
Filed under: uncultured bacterium
Lineage: Bacteria
Description: partial 16S ribosomal RNA
Rfam family: Bacterial small subunit ribosomal RNA
Source: RNAcentral